GGUUCUAUGGUGUAAUGGUUAGCACUCUGUACUCUGAAUCCAGUGAUCUGAGUUAAAAUCUCGGUAGGACUU
Molecule: transfer RNA, 72 nt
Filed under: Danionella translucida
Lineage: Eukaryota; Metazoa; Chordata; Actinopteri; Cypriniformes; Danionidae
Also listed under: 1 other name
Rfam family: tRNA
About the family: Transfer RNA (tRNA) molecules are approximately 80 nucleotides in length. Their secondary structure includes four short double-helical elements and three loops (D, anti-codon, and T loops). Further hydrogen bonds mediate the characteristic L-shaped molecular structure. tRNAs have two regions of fundamental functional importance: the anti-codon, which is responsible for specific mRNA codon recognition, and the 3' end, to which the tRNAs corresponding amino acid is attached (by aminoacyl-tRNA synthetases). tRNAs cope with the degeneracy of the genetic code in two manners: having more than one tRNA (with a specific anti-codon) for a particular amino acid; and 'wobble' base-pairing, i.e. permitting non-standard base-pairing at the 3rd anti-codon position.
Source: Rfam by way of RNAcentral